GUGGGGAAUUUUGGACAAUGGGCGCAAGCCUGAUCCAGCAAUGCCGCGUGCAGGAAGAAGGCCUUCGGGUUGUAAACUGCUUUUGUACGGAACGAAACGGUCCGGGUUAAUACCCUGGGCUAAUGACGGUACCGUAAGAAUAAGCACCGGCUAACUACGUGCCAGCAGCCGCGGUAAUACGUAGGGUGCAAGCGUUAAUCGGAAUUACUGGGCGUAAAGCGUGCGCAGGCGGUUUUGUAAGACAGGCGUGAAAUCCCCGGGCUCAACCUGGGAAUUGCGCUUGUGACUGCAAGGCUGGAGUGCGGCAGAGGGGGAUGGAAUUCCGCGUGCAGCAGUGAAAUGCGUAGAUAUGCGGAGGAACACCGAUGGCGAAGGCAAUCCCCUGGGCCUGCACUGACGCUCAUGCACGAAAGCGUGGGGAGCAAACAGGAUUAGAUACCCGUGUAGUCC
RNAcentral lists this ribosomal RNA (450 nucleotides) under uncultured bacterium. RNAcentral's name for it is "partial 16S ribosomal RNA". It matches the Rfam family "Bacterial small subunit ribosomal RNA", at positions 354 to 796 of the family's 1533-position model. The record is from RNAcentral.